Clupea harengus (Atlantic herring) is the source of this 770-nucleotide long non-coding RNA. The record is from Ensembl. Lineage: Eukaryota; Metazoa; Chordata; Actinopteri; Clupeiformes; Clupeidae.
GACAUUUGAAGAUAAUUUUAAUGACACAGAAACCCUUCAUAUAGGUGUAUAGGGAUAUAGGUGUUUAAAUGUUUAAAUCCCAGUUCUUUACCAUCUCUGCCUCCAAUAGAGUUGCUCUGAACUGCACUAGCACUCUUUUUCACAUCAGAGGAGGUUUUCUCUACAUUGACAUCAUGCUUGCACACAAAAAAGUAAUCAGUAAACAGGAGUCUAUGGGGGUCUAUCUAUGCAUUAGGUUCAUAAGUCUAUGGGGGUCUAUGUAUGUAUCAGGUUCAUAAGUCUAUGGGGGUCUAUGGGAGUCUAUGUAUGCAUUAGGUUCAUAAGUCUAUGGGGGUCUAUGGGGGUGUAUGUAUAUAUUAUGUCUAUGGGAGUGGGGUGUUCUGGAGGUCACAGAUAAGAAUCUGAAUAUUUGAUUCACCAAGAAGUGAGUACAAGGAAUUUCUUUUGGUGUAGGAGGUGUCAACAUAAAAUUAGGCCAAGUAAGAAAAAAAAAGCAAGUUAGCAAGUAAAAAAAAGGAGAGAGACUAAAAUAGAAAAAAAAACAUAAAAUAAACACACAAUACACAAGAAAAACUUCAGGUCAAAGGAUGUGUGAUGCAACAAUAGAAAGUGCAAAAGUGCUCUGACAACAGUAGGCAUGUGCAGUAAUUUAAAGCAGAGGGAUGGCAGAAGGGUCCCUGUUCAGGAGGACUGGCCUGGGGAGAGCUGUGGAGAUGGCAGAAGGGACCCUGUUCAGGAGGACUAUGGCCUGAGGAGAGCUGUGGAGAUGG